Molecule: long non-coding RNA, 2839 nt
Organism: Catharus ustulatus (Swainson's thrush)
Lineage: Eukaryota; Metazoa; Chordata; Aves; Passeriformes; Turdidae
Exons: 4
Source: RefSeq, a predicted model, not a curated record
CCAGCAGGUUUGUGUGGAUUUUUCUGUGUUUUAACCUAGAAGUAUUUUUUUCAGCAAGAUUUUGGAGCAAGAUUUAUUUUCAGUUUCUUUGAGGCAGUUUGGAGCCAGAACGGAACAAAAAAGCCUCCAAACACCAAAGGAAAUGGUGCCACUGAACAAAGGGUCUCUUGUUUGUAAACUUCCAUUUUAAAGUGUUGGUGAAUGUUCUACUGGAACAGUUUUUCAUUUUUCACUUAUACAGUCCAGUGUUUUAAAUACUAACCUAUUCAAGAGUCAAGUACUUUUCAGGGUCCUUUGGAGUGCCUUUUCAGCUCUGCGCUGUCUUCACUCCUAUGUAUCGAUCCUCUUAGAUAAUGUAUCCAAAGAGAAAAAGGAGAGAGUGUUUCAGUUUGCAGAGAAGCACAGCUGAAGAGACUGAGCUGAAUCUCUCCUGUAAUCUGUCAGCUGCAGAGCCUUCAUCACUGAAUGAUCCUCACCUCAUGUUUCUUGCAGCACAAGAGCAGGACUCUAUUUCAGAAAAAUAACAACCCAGGAACAAAAUUUAUAAAAAAAUAAACAACAGAAACAACAUUCCCAUUCUCCCCCUCAAUUUUCCUUUGAAUCUAGACAUGGUCUAACCGGGAGAAUUUUUUUUUCUCUGCACUUCUACCUUAAUAUUUCUGUCUACAUUGCUGCGCCUCUCUCUGCUGCCAAAGCUAAGUGUUUGCUGAAUUAAAUAAACCAUGCUGCAUUGAUAGAGCUCGUGAAUGCUGCUAUUGUCACCAGAAUCCCUUUUGCUGGUCUGACCCCAAAUCCUAAUGCCAACUGUGAUGCAGCCGUAAGUGAACAAGAAUCGAUCAUGCUGACGAGAUGAACAGACUCUCCAAAAGUGUGCUCCAGGAUGCCUUGAUCCACGCUGAGAGCCUCAGAAUCCAGCUGAGCAUUGCUUGGAUGUGAACUUCCCUUCCUGUUUCCCAGCACAGGUUGCUCUCAGGCACAAGAUUCUGCAAGCUAUUUUGGUUGGUCCUGCCAUGAAGGAGAUGGUCCUGUGGAAACGCUAACCUACAGCUGCUGCCUUCCAGCACCCUGCUAGAUGUGCACAGGAGGAAGCAAGAAGAUAAGCAAGGACACCCCUCAGUCCUCCUUCUUGAUGCUAAGAGGAUGUAGUGACACCUAGAAUUGAGAGUUUCUAUCUCUAGGGGAACUGUCCUAACUUCUGACAGAGGGAAAAUAUCAGAUUCCACUGACUACUUCUGCUAUCUAAGUAUUUUAUAUGGAAACUUGUAAUCUGGGGAAAGCUGCAAGCUAAGAAUCUCAGAGGCAGCAACCCCUACCACUGUGAGACUGUUAUGACGGAGCUGGUCCCUGCCUCUAUGAACUUGGUCCCAAUUUAUAUUAGACUGUGUAGUAACCCCCAGCACCGCCUUCCUGUGUGUCCAUCUCCUGCAGUGCCAGGGUAGCACUAAGGGCUUCUAGCCAGCAUAGUCCUGUGUAAACAAUGACUAUUUAUUCAUUCUCAGAGAAGGGACCUGAGGCUGAGUGCUUUUAAGUAAGUGGGACAUACAGUGGCCUUCUGCAGUUCUGUGCAUCUGACCCUUUUCUUCAUUGAUUCUACUCCAAGCACCUGCAAAUGUAACAUUCCGUACUGAAAACGUUUUGUGCUUAAUGGCUUGCUUUCACUGUUGUGAGAAAAAUGAAAAUUUCAGAGGGGUUGCAAUCAAGACUCUUCCCUGUCCUCUCCAUUCUGUUGUCAACAUGAAAAAUCAGCUAUUCCUGUAAUCCAAGUCCCAGGAUAAUGUCAAAUGAAGUCCACACAGGAGAGGCAAGAGUACAGAUGCAAGGGCAGCCUGUUGGGCUCCCCAACCUUCAGAUUCUGCAAGUGGCAGCACUGUGCUGACCUUCCAGAAAGUGGGAAUGACACAAGAGAUUGCCAUGUGACUCCUAAUGCUUUAUGGGUAAUUGGAAUGGUGAUGCACCCAACUGACUGCUGCAGUUUUCUGAGGUUGGCCAUUUUAACCCACGGUCUGAAAAUUUUAUGGGUUUUUUUAGAAAAUAGGUCCCUUGCAACCAUAUCUCUGCUAAAAUGUGGUUAUUCUACAGAAAAGAAAAAGUGAGUAAAAAUAUAGUAGAUCUUCAAAGCAACACAAUUCUUCAACCUGGAGAAGAAAUACCUUCAGAUUUCCACUCCAAGUACUACUGUGCCUUCUCCGGGUGGAUGGAAUAAAGAAAUAAGGAGGCUCUGAAAUGCGAAGCUCAGCUGCAGCAAACUCACCAGCUUUUGCCUGAGAGGAUACUGCUUCUUCAGCUAUAUAGUGAGCAUGAGCUAUUUUGUCUUCCUUGAGACAGGAAAGCUCUGAACUUUCCGGAUAAAUCCAUAGUUUAAUCCAGUUCUGGAGUAAUUACAAGGGCCCUGAGCUGAACUUGAAGUUUUUUGGUCUGGAUAUGAUGAACUGCUCUUCACUCUGUCUGGGGACCUUGGAAACACGUAUGUCCAGUUUCAGGAAUACUGGCCCUCAGAAGUGAUAGGUCAUGUCAGAAAAGGUGCACAAUGAUUAUGCCCAUCCUAGCACAAGGGUUGCUUAUUAACUGUUAUUAACUUGUGAAGUUGCCAAUUAACAUUAUUUAAUGUAUAGGGAAAGAAACUAAAUUUACAGACUAAGUAAUUUCUCUGUUUUAAUGCUCCGUGGAUUCCAGUGUUUGGCAUAAUAAACUUCAUGUGGUAAAUUACACUUAGGUUCCUUUUCACUUGCUUUGCUUUUGCAGUUGCAUUAAUAAAGCCUCCAAAACACACCUGUAAAUCUCAAGAAAAAUAACCUAAGUAUCUAACUAAGAAAUUAUAGCCUGAGUGAUAACUUCUUUC